CGAGGCGUAGCGCAGUUUGGUAGCGCACCUGGUUUGGGACCAGGGUGUCGGGAGUUCGAGUCUCUUCGCCUCGACCA
Molecule: transfer RNA, 77 nt
Filed under: Clostridia bacterium
Lineage: Bacteria; Bacillati; Bacillota; Clostridia
Also listed under: 1 other name
Description: tRNA-Pro
Rfam family: tRNA
About the family: Transfer RNA (tRNA) molecules are approximately 80 nucleotides in length. Their secondary structure includes four short double-helical elements and three loops (D, anti-codon, and T loops). Further hydrogen bonds mediate the characteristic L-shaped molecular structure. tRNAs have two regions of fundamental functional importance: the anti-codon, which is responsible for specific mRNA codon recognition, and the 3' end, to which the tRNAs corresponding amino acid is attached (by aminoacyl-tRNA synthetases). tRNAs cope with the degeneracy of the genetic code in two manners: having more than one tRNA (with a specific anti-codon) for a particular amino acid; and 'wobble' base-pairing, i.e. permitting non-standard base-pairing at the 3rd anti-codon position.
Source: RNAcentral